CCUACGGGAGGCAGCAGUAGGGAAUAUUGCUCAAUGGGGGAAACCCUGAAGCAGCAACGCCGCGUGGAGGAUGACGGUUUUCGGAUUGUAAACUCCUUUUGUUAGAGAAGAUAAUGACGGUAUCUAACGAAUAAGCACCGGCUAACUCCGUGCCAGCAGCCGCGGUAAUACGGAGGGUGCAAGCGUUACUCGGAAUCACUGGGCGGAAAGAGCGCGUAGGCGGGAUAGCAAGUCAGAUGUGAAAUCCUAUGGCUUAACCAUAGAACUGCAUUUGACACUGUUAUUCUAGAGUAUGGGAGAGGUAGGUGGAAUUCUUGGUGUAGGGGUAAAAUCCGUAGAGAUCAAGAGGAAUACUCAUUGCGAAGGCGACCUGCUAGAACAUAACUGACGCUGAUGCGCGAAAGCGUGGGGAGCAAACAGGAUUAGAUACCCGAGUAGUC
RNAcentral lists this ribosomal RNA (440 nucleotides) under uncultured bacterium. Its description in RNAcentral is "partial 16S ribosomal RNA". It matches the Rfam family "Bacterial small subunit ribosomal RNA", at positions 338 to 795 of the family's 1533-position model. The record is from RNAcentral.